CUGGGACUGUGCGAAAGAUCCCUCCCACGAGCUCCUGCCCUGCUCCAUCCUCUCUCCAGGGGGAGGGGCCUGGGCAACCUGGCUGAGGGAGAGGAGGUCACUCCCUGUGCUCCAGCCCAACCCCGCUUCCUCCCACCCCCAGAACUCAACUUUGGGGCCAUGACUCUCAACAGCACGGAUGCCACCAGUGAGCGUGACUUUGUGGCCGAGUUCCCGUAUUGGGCUUCGCUGUGCAUGACCCAUCUCAGCAGGAUGGCCAAGGACCUCAUCCUCUAGGGCACCAAGGAAUUCAGCUUCGUGCAGCUCUCGGAUGCCUACAGCACCGCAGCAGCCUGAUGCCCCAGAAGAAAAACCCUGACAGCUUGGAGCUGAUCCAGAGCAAGGUGAGGCAUGUGUUUGCGCGGUGUGCUGGGCUCCUCAUGACCCUCAAGAAACUUCCAGCACCUACAACAAAGACUUACAGGUGUGAGGCUGGGGUAGUGGCCGGUGGAGGCCCGCUGCCUACAUUCUCGGGGCUCUGGCACACACAGGCAGGGGUCCCCCAGGAUUGCCAUACAUCCUCCCAUCCGUGGCUGCCCUUGGAGCUCUCUGCCCUUCCUUUCUUGGGGUGCUGAGUGUUCUUCCCAUGGAAGGCAGUGAGGAUGCCUCAGUGGGGGUGGGGCUGUGGGGACCCUGGGUGCCAGGGGGCUGCUAGGCCCUCACCUGCUGCCAUGUGCCUCCCAGGACAAGGAAGCUGUGUUUGAUGUGUCAGAUACUGUGAGUGCCGUGUUCCAGGUGGCCACUGGCGUCAUCUGUAUGCUGCAGGCAAGACACCACCCACCGGCCUCUCCUCCCCUAAGUCCCAGACACUGCAGUGGGCAUGCCAGGAGGGUGGCCUUGGGAGGAGGUGAGGCGGGGCUGGAGGACCUGGGGCAGGGAAAGGAGAGGUGUGCUCGCUCCUGCUCCUGGGGAACAGGGAAGAGACAGAAACUGCUGCCACACAAUGGAAGUAGAUGAGACUCAAGGGGCCUGAGGCUCAUCAACAGAACCCUUUUAAAAAAGAAAAUUUAUACAAAAGUCCAGUGUGGUGGCUCAUGCCUGGAAUCCCACACUUUGGGUGCCGAAGCAGGUGGAGCACUUGAGGCCAGGGAUUUGAGACCAGCCUGGCCAACAUGGUAUAACCAUAUCUCUACUAAAAAUACAAAAAUUAGCCGCG
Molecule: long non-coding RNA, 1195 nt
Organism: Sapajus apella (tufted capuchin)
Lineage: Eukaryota; Metazoa; Chordata; Mammalia; Primates; Cebidae
Exons: 4
Source: RefSeq, a predicted model, not a curated record